AUUGAACGCUGGCGGCAGGCCUAACACAUGCAAGUCGAGCGGAAGACGGGAGCGUGCUCCUUGAUUCAGCGGCGGACGUGUGAGUAAUGCCUAGGAAUCUGCGUGGUAGUGGGGGACAACGUGUCGAAAGGAACGCUAAUACCGCAUACGUCCUACGGGAGAACGCCGGGGACCUUCGGGCCUUGCGCUCUCAGAUGAGCCUAGGUCGGAUUAGCUAGUUGGUGGGGUAAUGGCUCACGAAGGCGGCGAUCCGUAACUGGUCUGAGAGGAUGAUCAGUCACACUGGAGCUGAGACACGGUCAAGACUCCUACGGGAGGCAGCAGUGGGGAAUAUUGGACAAUGGGCGAAAGCCUGAUCCAGCCAUGCCGCGUGUGUGAAGAAGGUCUUCGGAUUGUAAAGCACUUUAAGUUGGGAGGAAGGGCAGUAAGUUAAUACCUUGCUGUUUUGACGCUACCGACAGAAUAAGCACCGGCUAACUCUGUGCCAGCAGCCGCCGUAA
RNAcentral lists this ribosomal RNA (500 nucleotides) under uncultured bacterium. RNAcentral's name for it is "partial 16S ribosomal RNA". It matches the Rfam family "Bacterial small subunit ribosomal RNA", at positions 30 to 523 of the family's 1533-position model. The record is from RNAcentral.